Long non-coding RNA from Amphibalanus amphitrite, 492 nucleotides. RefSeq lists it as uncharacterized. The record is from RefSeq and is a predicted model, not a curated record. Lineage: Eukaryota; Metazoa; Arthropoda; Thecostraca; Balanomorpha; Balanidae. The transcript is spliced from 2 exons.
CUGGUCUAUCUGCCUGUCCCAGCCGCUGACACUGCUGAGGUCACUGACCUGACCUCUACCCUGGGUCAGCUUACAAGUCACACCGUCCCGCUGCUGGUAGUUACUGACCCUGCCGAUAGAGGUCUCUGGCUGCUCGAACGGGAGCUGAAUAGAUCGGAAGAGUCGGUGCUACGUAAUUCGGUGCAGCAGCUGGUUAUUCGCUUGAACUUUCAAAGAUACCUACCAGUUGCCAGUCACAGCGCAUUCUACCGAAAUAUCUACGCCAUCUUCCGCAGACUACAAUCACUAGGGUUUUACCCUUUUGCCCAUGAGCCUAACUACUUUACUGAAGAUAAUGUGACAGUGGAGGGGCUAGAGAAUCGUGUGUACCCUUCAAUGGAUAUCGGGUGGAUGAGAACAGCGUGUUUUCCGUAUGAUAGUUCUUAAUUGUUCCGUUCGAAAUGGGUCUGCUGUAUGAAUACGCAUAAAUAAUAAUAUAAGUCUAACGUUAGA